CCUACGGGUGGCAGCAGUGGGGAAUAUUGGACAAUGGGGGGAACCCUGAUCCAGCCAUGCCGCGUGUGUGAAGAAGGCCCUCGGGUUGUAAAGCACUUUCAGUGAGGAAGAACGCCUGGUGGUUAAUACCCAUCAGGAAAGACAUCACUCACAGAAGAAGCACCGGCUAACUCCGUGCCAGCAGCCGCGGUAAUACGGAGGGUGCGAGCGUUAAUCGGAAUUACUGGGCGUAAAGCGCGCGUAGGUGGCUUGAUAAGCCGGUUGUGAAAGCCCCGGGCUCAACCUGGGAACGGCAUCCGGAACUGUCAAGCUAGAGUGCAGGCGAGGAAGGUAGAAUUCCCGGUGUAGCGGUGAAAUGCGUAGAGAUCGGGAGGAAUACCAGUGGCGAAGGCGGCCUUCUGGACUGACACUGACACUGAGGUGCGAAAGCGUGGGUAGCAAACAGGAUUAGAUACCCCUGUAGUC
RNAcentral lists this ribosomal RNA (465 nucleotides) under Vreelandella stevensii. RNAcentral describes it as "partial 16S ribosomal RNA". It matches the Rfam family "Bacterial small subunit ribosomal RNA", at positions 338 to 795 of the family's 1533-position model. Lineage: Bacteria; Pseudomonadati; Pseudomonadota; Gammaproteobacteria; Oceanospirillales; Halomonadaceae. The record is from RNAcentral.